UGGGGAAUUUUGGACAAUGGGCGAAAGCCUGAUCCAGCCAUGCCGCGUGAGUGAAGAAGGCCUUCGGGUUGUAAGGCUCUUUUAGUCGGAAAGAAAGAGUCGCAAUGAAUAAUUGUGAUUUAUGACGGUACCGACAGAAAAAGCACCGGCUAACUACGUGCCAGCAGCCGCGGUAAUACGUAGGGUGCGAGCGUUAAUCGGAAUUACUGGGCGUAAAGGGUGCGCAGGCGGUUUUGCAAGUCAGAUGUGAAAGCCCCGGGCUUAACCUGGGAAUUGCGUUUGAAACUACAAGGCUAGAGUGCAGCAGAGGGGAGUGGAAUUCCAUGUGUAGCAGUGAAAUGCGUAGAGAUGUGGAAGAACACCGAUGGCGAAGGCAGCUCCCUGGGUUGACACUGACGCUCA
RNAcentral lists this ribosomal RNA (402 nucleotides) under uncultured bacterium. RNAcentral describes it as "bacterial SSU rRNA". It matches the Rfam family "Bacterial small subunit ribosomal RNA", at positions 355 to 749 of the family's 1533-position model. The record is from RNAcentral.